UAAAGGAAGCGAUUCCGGCUACGGAUGGUCAUGCGUCGCAUUAGCUAGUUGGCGGGGUAACGGCCCACCAAGGCGACGAUGCGUAGGGGUUCUGAGAGGAAGGUCCCCCACACUGGUACUGAGACACGGACCAGACUCCUACGGGAGGCAGCAGUGAGGAAUAUUGGUCAAUGGCCGCAGGGCUGAACCAGCCAAGUCGCGUGAGGGAUGACGGUCCUAUGGAUUGUAAACCUCUUUUGUCAGGGAGCAAAGGGCGCCACGUGUGGCGCUUUGCGAGUACCUGAAGAAAAAGCAUCGGCUAACUCCGUGCCAGCAGCCGCGGUAAUACGGAGGAUGCGAGCGUUAUCCGGAUUUAUUGGGUUUAAAGGGUGCGCAGGCGGAAUGUCAAGUCAGCGGUAAAAUUUCGGGGCUCAACCCCGUCGUGCCGUUGAAACUGGCGUUCUUGAGUGAGCGAGAAGUAUGCGGAAUGCGUGGUGUAGCGGUGAAAUGCAUAGAUAUCACGCAGAACUCCGAUUGCGAAGGCAGCAUACCGGCGCUCAACUGACGCUCAUGCACGAAAGCGUGGGUAUCGAACAGGAUUAGAUACCCUGGUAGUCCACGCAGU
Molecule: ribosomal RNA, 604 nt
Filed under: uncultured bacterium
Lineage: Bacteria
Description: bacterial SSU rRNA
Rfam family: Bacterial small subunit ribosomal RNA
Source: RNAcentral